This 25448-nucleotide long non-coding RNA is filed under the name Triticum aestivum (bread wheat). RNAcentral's name for it is "long non-coding RNA (TAES_LNC000471)". Lineage: Eukaryota; Viridiplantae; Streptophyta; Magnoliopsida; Poales; Poaceae. The record is from RNAcentral.
ACUUAGGCGAGGAUCUCCCCUUCAGGACCAGGCUCUCGAGUUCGGUAUCAUGCCUGGAUUAUGGAAUAGAACACGCGUAUGGUCGCCCUGUGAACGUUCGAGCAGGGUACAAUCGUCUAACCAUCUCGCUAAUCCAUUUUUGAGGAUGAGGCAGUUCUGAUGAAAGCACAGGUCUGGUUUGGUUGAAUUUCCUUGGGGUCCUUGGGCGUUUAGUUCGGGUGCUGUGUUCUGGGAGUCAUAGUUUUUUUGUAUAGCUAGCUACACUCAUAUGAUCCGGGGUUUGACGAUUUGCGGACACGCCAUCUUAUACAUUCAAUCCAUCGCGAUGUAUAUUCGAUCCCAGAUGUAUAUAACGGAGCUACUUCGGGCACGUGUUUUUUCGAUUUAGUCCAUAUGUGUUUCAUUUGAAGUCACUCUGACCCUCUUGAGUGUUGGAUAAGUUUGUGUACUAGGGUCUUUGUGGGGCUGCAACACAUGGUCCUUGUGGCAGUUAGGAUAGAGUUCCUGACCAUCAAGGACUGACAGUUAGGAUAGCAUCUUAGACCAGCAUCUUAGACUAGCAUCUUAGGCUGGCAUCUUAGUAGCAUUUCAGCAUAUGCUUGGCUGGCUAGCAACCUAUAAGUAUGUAUCCCCAAUCCCUCAGGUUGGCAUGGCAUUGUGUGAGAAAUAAACCAACGAAAAUUGUCCCAACUCUUCUAGUGUUAUCCACAACUAUCAAUGCUUAGAUUCAAAGGUUUAACAAGUGGUAUCAGAGCCUUGUUAUCUUGUAUCCUGAGCAUUUCCUGUGAGCAGCCCAAGUCGGUAGCAACAGCUGCUCCGUUUGCCUCUGCUUACUUUCCUCCCUCCGGACUAUCGAGCAGCAGUUCGUCUUCAACAGCCUCUUCUUCACGCAACAGCCCCCCUACAGCGAGCCAUGUCUGCAGGUCGCUCUCAGCACACGGCUACCUCGAGCAUGCGGCGUCGGCAGGAGGCCGAGCGUGCCGUGGCAGAGGAGCGUGAGCGAGCAGCUGUAGCAGCAGCUGCUGCGGCAGCAAGGGUGUCGAGGCUGGCUGUAGCGGAGCUGGCAGCAGCCAAAGCGGAGGUAGAAGCAGCCAGGGCGGAGUUAGAAGCAGUAGCAGCAGCAGCGGACGCAGCACGUGAGGCUACGACGGAUGCCAAAGCACUUCGCGGCGGCUCCGGCAGCUCCAACAGCUCCGCACCUGUGGACGACGGCGCUGACGUAGACCGCGCCAAAGUGGCGCAAGAGCGGACGGCGCAGUGGGCAGCCGAGCACGCCCGCGCUCCAGGUGGAGGUGCGCACCGCGACGGCGGCUGCAACGACCAGGACCGCGGCCUCUACGAGGUCCGGACUGUGGUCAGGGAUGUUGGUCCCAGUGCUGGGUGGCCUACCCUCACUAAAACCAACUAGGUCGAGUGGGCCGGGAUCAUGAAGGUCAGGCUCCAGGUGCGGCGCAUGUGGGAGGCAGUCCAGGACAGCAAUGUCGACCACCAAGAGGACCGAUGGGCGCUGGACGCCCUCAUCGCCGCAGUCCUGCCCGAGAUGCAGUUCUCGCUUUCCAGCAAGCGGACUGCCAAGGAAGCUUGGGACGCCAUCGCCGCGGCACACAUCGGCAGCGACCGUGCUCGUAAGUCCACUCUACAGGCACUUCAUAAGGAGUGGGAGAGCCUGGCUUUCAAGCCAGGUGAGGACGUUGAUGACUUUGCUCUCCGUCUCAACACUCUGCUGCAGAAGUUGGUGAAGUUUGGUGAUGCCACCUACACCAAGGAGAGAGCUGUCGAGAAGCUCUUUCGGUGCAUCCCCGAGAAGUACAAGCAGAUGGCUCGGGCGAUCGAGUCCUUGCUGGACCUCUCCACGAUGACAAUCGAGGAGGCGAUAGGUCGCCUCAAGGUCGUCGACACCGACGAGCCACGGCCUUCCUCGGGGCCCAUCACCACCGGCGGGAAGCUGCUCCUAACUCGGGAGCCGUGGGAUGCCAGCCUUGGUGACAGGAAGAAGGGGGAGCCUUCUUCCACGACGGGCGGCCGCAAGCAUGGCAAGCAACGUAAGACGCGAAGAGGCCCCCCGGGCAGGGCACAAGGACGUGCCGAAGGGGACGCCCGCGGAGGCGCCAAGGACGGCGCCGCUGGCAAGCCCAAGCCGGCACAAGACAUCAGCUGCCACAACUGUGGCCGGUUUGGCCAUUGGGCCAAUGAGUGUCGGCAACCACGACAAGGCCAGACUCACGUCGCACAGGCGAAGGAGGAGGAGAUGGCUCUGUUCAUGGCGCAUGCAAGCAUUGAGCUAUCUUCAGCGACACCCAUUGCAAAAGCUCUCAUCCACCUCGACGAGCCAAAGGCACACGCUCUUCUCGGCGAUGCCUCCGGGAAGGACAAGACUACUGGGUGGUGCCUCGACACCGGCGCCACCCACCACAUGACCGGUCGAAGGGAAUUCUUCGCCGAGCUCGAUUCCGAUGCACGAGGCUCCGUCGAGUUUGGGGAUGCCUCCGCUGUGGAAAUUAAGGGCGUCGGCUCCGUCAUCUUCACCACCAAGACGGGAGAGCACCGGCUGCUCACCGGUGUCUACUACAUCCCCGCGCUAAGGAACUCCAUCAUCAGCUUGGGACAGCUGGAUGAGAACGGCUCACGUGUGCUGAUUGAGCAUGGGGUCCUACGCAUCUGGGAUCGCCAGGGUCGCCUUCUCGCCAAGGUACCAAGAGGUGGAAAUCGACUCUACGUCCUUGAUGUGCAGGUGGCACAACCGGUCUGUCUCGCUGUCCGUCGGGACGACGAGGCGUGGCAAUGGCAUGAGCGCUUUGGGCAUCUUCACUUUGAGGCCCUGAAGCGUAUAAGUGCCAAGGAGAUGGUACGAGGCCUGCCAUGCCUCAACCAUGUGGAGCAGUUCUGCGACAUCUGCGCACUGACGAAGCAGAGACGACUCCCCUUUCCCCAACAAGCGAGUUUUCGGGCCAAGGAGAAGCCGGAGCUCGUGCACGGAGACUUGUGCGGCCCGGUGACGCCAGCCACACCAGGAGGUCGACGCUACUUCCUGCUGCUCGUCGACGAUCUCUCUCGCUACAUGUGGGUGAUGAUUCUCGGCAGCAAGGGAGAAGCGCCGGACGCCAUCAGGCGCGCACAGGCUGGUGUGGAGGCGGAGAGCGGCCGCAAAUUGCACGUGUUACGCACUGACAACGGCGGCGAAUUCACGACGGCUGAAUUUGCGUCGUACUGCGCCGAUGAGGGCAUCCAGCGCCACUACUCCGCGCCGUACAGCCCGCAGCAAAACGGAGUCGUCGAGCGGCGCAACCAGACGGUUGUGGGGAUGGCUCGGGCUCUCCUCAAGCAGCGAGGGAUGCCGGCUGUUUUCUGGGGAGAGGCGGUGCUGACGGCCGUCUACAUCCUCAACCGCUCGCCUACUAAGGCACUCGACGGCAGGACACCGUAUGAGGUCUGACAUGGGCGGAAGCCGGCGGUUUCCCAUUUGCGGGUCUUUGGUUGUCUUGCGUUCGCUAAGGAGCUUGGCCACAUCGGCAAGCUCGACGACAGGAGCACUCCGGGAGUCUUCAUCGGCUAUGCGGAGGGCUCAAAGGCCUACUGCAUCCUCGACCCAAAGACACAACGUGUGCGCACGGCGUGAGACGUUGUGUUCAAUGAAGGGCGAGGGUGGCAAUGGGACAAGGCGGUGGACGACGGCACGACGCCAAUCUAUGACGACUUCAUUGUCGAGUACGCUCACUUCAAGGAAGCUGGGGGAGCAAGCAGCUCCUCCCCGCCGGGCACGUCUACCCCCGCCCCCAAAACUACAUCGACUCCGGUGCCCGCUACGCGACGACACCACAACUAGCGACGCCGCAUACUCCAGCCCCGACGGUCACCACUCUGGGUUCAUCUUCAUCAGCACCAGCUCACGCAGAGCACAACCCGAUGAAGUUCGCUUCCCCCCUCACUCACGACGAGGAGCGGGUCGACGCGUGGUAUGGAGGCGAACAGUUGCGGUAUCGCACGAUGGAUGAUCUACUCGGCGACCAGCCGGUGCCGGGACUGAUGCCACGUGACCUGGAGGCGCAGCUACAACUCGCGUGUGAGGACGGCGAACCACGGUCCUUUGCAGAGACCGAGAGAGAUGCGGCAUGGCGCGCCGUGAUGCAGUUGGAGAUGGACGCGGUCGAGCAAAACCGCACCUGGGAGCUCGCUGACCUCCCCCAUGGUCAUCGCGCAAUCACCCUUAAGUGGGUGUUCAAGCUGAAGAGGGAUGGAGCCGGCGCCAUCAUCAAGCACAAGGCUCGCCUAGUGGCCCGAGGCUUCUUGCAGCAGGAAGGAGUCGACUUCGACGACGCCUUCGCUCCCGUGGCAUGGAUGGCGUCCGUGCGACUUCUCCUUGCGCUGGCUGCCCAGGAGGCACUAGUGCAGAACCGGGCAAUAGCACCGGUUCGUAAGGCCCUUUAGUGCCGGUUCCAUAACCGGCACUAAAGUGUGGGCACUAAAGCCCCCCCCCCUUUAGUACCGGUUCAGCACGAACCGGUGCUAAAGGGCAACCACGUGGCACAAGCCAGCUCCGGGGGCCGGGAGCCCUUUAGUACCGGUUGGUAACACCAACCGGUACUAAAAUGUUUGGGUUUUUUUGGUUUUAUGAUUUCUUUUUCAUUUAAUUUUGUGUUUUCCAUUUUAAUUCUUUUUCGUUUGCUGGUAUUUUACUAUACUACACAUUGUACACGUUAUGCAUAUAUAUAUAUAUAAAUAAAUAGAAUUUCUAGUAGAACCAAUCAUAUAUAUAUCAUCAAUGUCUCACAAACCACCAUAUUAAUUCACACAUACACACAUGUAUAGCUAUAUAUAAUUUCUCCUACAUAUGCAUGUUGCCUUCGGAGCCAGUGGCAUUAGCCUAAUUGGUGCCUCCGGAGCACGAUGACAAUUGGAAGUGGUUCAUGACCUGGUCGAUGGGGGUGGUAGCGGGUAAUAGUAUUCUCCCUUCGGAUUUAUGACCUGGUCGAGCAAAAAUCCCGCUAUUUCCUCUUGAAGUGCUUCUACGCGCUCCGUUUCUAGGAGCUUGUCCCGCACCUCUUUGAACUGUUAAGAAGGAGAUCAAUACGCAUGUGUAUUAGUUGUGUGACUAGAUAUCGAUAAUGGUGUAAAAAUUGUGAAUAGUGUUCUGACAAGCGUACCCAUUCCUGUCUUUGAGAUCUGCCCCUUUCGGACACCAUCAUGUGAAUGUUCUCGCAAACGCAGAAUGCACACAGAUUAGUCCCUUGCGCCUGCUUCAGGGUCUUUAUUAUGAGAAUGGAAUUUAAUUUGAUCAGAUAAUAAUUAAUCAAGCAUGAUAAUUAAAGAGAUGGCAGCUAGCUAGCUAGCUAGUACUACUUAAUUACUUACCUUGGGUCGAAACCAUUUCAGCUGUCGUUUUCAUUCGCCUUCCGUGACGCUGAUGAACCUUGCCCAAGCCCUGCCCGCCGACAAAGAAAAUGAAUAAAAGGGUUAUUAAAUAGUUCAUAUCAUGAAAUGACGAACUAAAUAGGCCGAGAUAUAUAGUUAAUAAUGAUUGAAAUUACCUGUUGACUAUCCCAAAGAAGAUGUUAUAGUCACUAUUUGCUUUGAGUAGUGAGUCUAGUAUUUCAACUGUUCCAGCGUCAACUUUAAUGAUACACAAGAUCCAGUGAAAUCUGCAUGCACACACGUUUGCAUGUCUUAAUUAAGCGGGUAUAUGUAAGCAAAAACAUGUAGCUAGCUAGUAGGCAAAAACAGAGAAUUUGUAGUACAAGAAAGUGUGACUCACUGGAAGUUGUAAGGAAGUAGUAUAUCUUCAUUGUAUUUGAGGCGCUUCAAGAACUCUAGCAUGCUGUCCUCUACCUGCUUUUCAUGAUGCUUGUUUAUUUUCCAUGUGUAUUCAUUAACGGUGUUUGGGUCAAUGAACCCAAUGCCAUAUCGUCCACCUUUUCUCAUUUCAUACAUCUUCAUCCUGCAUAAUAUCACAGAAAAGAAUAUAGUGAGGAUAAUUACAGAUAAUGAUUGAUCAAAAGGAUCACUACAGCUAGCUUGAGACUUAAAUUACAGAAAGAAAUCACUUACAGACAAUAGCAACUGAUGAUAGAUUUGUCGAGUGCGUCUUGAUUGUAUAACUGAAACAGUUCAGAAUACUCAACGGUCACAGGUUUCUGAUGGUAGUAAUGAUCCUUCUUGACUUGCACCAUGAGGGACUCUCGAUCAGAUCUCUUGGUAGUGUCCAUGUACCAUUGGUGCAAUUCAGACAUUCUCGUUGGGAGCUUCUUGACCUCUUCUGGCUUGACCAAAGGUUGGCCCCGGGCAUAUUUCCGUUUUAUUUCCUCCUCUGUAAGCACAGGCAUGUCCUCGAUCUCGAGGAGUUGUCCAACAGUGAUUUUGAGAGUUUCUGCCCGCACUAUGGCAUUGGUUUGCUCCUCGGUCCUGUCGUAAGCCCUCUCAGGAAGAGGAGUAGUGAGGUUUGGACCAUAUUUAUAUCGCUUGCCUCCGCCUGUACUUCCUGUACUAUGACCUCGACUCGUACCGCUACGCACCAUAGCUGCGGGGUGUCUCUUCUAUGAUUGCUGAGGCGGCGGAGACGGCUGGCGGGGCUGAGUUGGAUGAGGAGGAGUGGCCUGAAGCUGUGCCAGACUUGGAGGAGGAGUGGCCUGAGGUUGUGCCGGACUUGGAGGAGGAGUGGAUGUCUGACGCUGUGUCGGACUUGGAGGAGGAGUGGCCUGACACUUUGCCGGACUUGGAGGAGGAGGAGUGGCCUCACGCGUUGGUGGACUUGGAGGAGCGGGAGUCUUCUAACCCGGUGGCGUACUUCGAUGAGGAGUCGGGUGACGCGGUGUCGGUGGCAUUCGAAAGAUGAUGCAAUCCUUUCUCCAUAGGAUGAUACGAUGUUUGGCAUCUCCGAGUGUGUGCUCCUUAUCACCUCCAGGAAUGUCAAGCUCUAGCCCCGAAUAUUGGUCCACCACCUCAUCAACCACGACACGAGCAUAGCCUGCUGGAAUCGGGUUGCAAUGGAAGGUUGCAUCGGGAGAAUUUGUAUAAGCAACGCCGUCCGCCACCUUCAAGGAUAUGUUCUUAAUUUUGAAGUGUAGCUCGCAGUUAGUGUUCUCCGCGAUGUCAUCCACGGGGUAUCUAUCCAGCAUCAAACGGGGCGGAACCCACGCUGCUUCUCGGCAUGGAUGGGGCGGUGGUAUUCAAUGCUGGAUCAUCCGCUAGCUGCUGCAGCUGCUGAGACCCCCUUUGCUGGCUAAGUGAGUCGAUCUGCUCCUGCUACCGCUGGAAUUUGACUACCAAAUCCGCGUGCGCUGAUUCUAGGCCUUGAAGGCGUUCAUAGUCCAGCUUCCUCUUCUCCUUCUCCAUCUUCCUCUGCUUCUCCUCUGCAAUCUUCCUUAUCGCACGGGUUCUGUAGUCGGCGUUCCAGUCCGAAAACCCCUCAUACCAUGGAAUAGCGCCCUUGCCUCAUGUUCUUCCCGGGUGUUCAGGAUUUCCCAGGGCACAUGUAAGCUCGUCGUUCUCUCUGUUGGGCUGGAACACCCCCGUUCGAGCCUCUUCUAUUGCAACAAGUAUAUUAUCGUCGGCUCCGUUCAGACAUGCCUUCGUCGAAACUUUGCUUAUCUUCGGGUCCAACUCCCCCCCAUGCGCAUAGAACCAAGUCCUGCACCUGGGGGGCCAGCUCUUAGUAACCGGAGUGACACCUGCAUCCUCCAUCUCUUUCUCAGACUUAUCCCACUUAGGCAUUGCCACCGCGUAGCCACCUGGCCCCAGCUUAUGGAACUUAUCCAUUUUUUCGGCAUUCUUCUUGUUUAUUCUUGACCGUUCCUUAGCUAAUUCUGAAUCCUUGAAUUUCAUAAAAUCGUCCCAAUGAGCACUUUGAUUCUCUAGUGUUCCCUCGAAUACUGGAGUCUUCCUUCCUCCCUUGACGUACUUGUCCCAUUCACGAUUCUUGUGGUUCUUGAAUGCAACCGCCAUCUUCCUAAGAGCAGCGUCCUUGACUUUCUGCACAUCUGCUUCUGUGAAAUGAUCUGGUAGGGUGAAAUGUUCCAUGAGAGUAUCCCAAAGCAGAUUUUUUUGUCUGUCGUUGACAAAAGUAAGAUCUGGACGUGGCUUUGUUGGCUCUCUCCAUUCUUGAAGGGAGAUUGGGAGUUGGUCCUUCACAAGAACUCCGCACUGAUGAACGAACUUGUCCGCAAUCUUCUUAGGCGCUAAUGGUUCGCCAUUAGGUCUGAUUGCCUCGAUAUUAUACUUUAUGCCCUCCUUCAACUUUUUGUUCGGGCCUCGUUUCGUCCUGUUGCCUGAAGAUUUGCUCGAUCCGGAUGGCUGAAAGAAGAAAGAUCGAUUCGUUAAUAUAUCUUCAACUCAUUUAAAAUAUGUGAUGAUCACCAGAUGCCUGCUUAUAUAAAUAUAUAUACCUCGCCGGUCUUUGUUGUUUCAGGAUCAACAUGUUCUUCGUCAUUAUCAUAAUCGUAGUUCAUGAUCACUUCAUCAAUUCGGUCGUCGCGAUCGAAUAUCAUAUCACCCUCUCCGGUGUUGUUUAGAAAUUCGGAGCCGUCAUAAUCUUCUUCAUUCUGAUCAUCAUAUGGCCCGCGUAUUAUAUCGAACAUGGUCUGUUCUCCCUCUCUGUCGGUAUUGUCCGCCAUAGCUUUUAUUUAACUAUGCCAAAAGAAAUAUAAAACAAUUUAGUACUCAAAUUACAUCGUCUCGAAUAAUAGAUAUAAUCUCGAAUACAUCAUCUCGAAUAAUAGAUAUAAUCUUGAAUACAUCGUCUCGAAUAAUAGAUAUAAUCUCGAAUACAUCGUCUCGAAUAAUAUAUAAUAUUGAAUACUACAUCACUGGCUAGGCGGCGCGGGCGGUGGACACCCAAAGAGAAGGAACCCUCACAGGAUCAUAGCUGAAGUGAGAUCCCUGAAGAAACUGCCAGGUAUUGGAGAACCUGCCGCCCUCUAACGCAACCAUGUAGCGAUGGACGUGCUCGUCCUCCUCCCUGACACAGCGACGUACCACCUCCGGCGGGGCGGGCUCCCUCCGCACCGAAACUGGCCCACACGAACGCCACCAAACGAGAUCAGGGUCGACGACGGGACCCGGGGUCGGGUUCCUCAUCAAGCGGCGCGCCCCUCCAGGCAGCACCUCCUAGUGCCAGCCCGGCGGAGCCCAGUCCCGGACAUGGGUCAGUCGGACGUCGUCACGGACGGGUCGACGGCGAGGAUGCGGGCCGGGCAUCGUCGAGAACAAAUACUAGCUAUAUGCCCGCAAAAAAUAACAUUUUUUAAUGAUUGGAUUUUGAUAACUAAAAUUUCUAACAUUUCUAUAUAACACUAAUUAUGCUAUCAUUGCAUAUGUCAAAAUUCUAUAUGCUAUUUCAUACUAAUUAAGCAUCUAACACUAAAAACAGAAAACACAACUUUUAUACAUCCAUUAAAAAACUGAAAAACAACAUUAUAUAAAAAAAUUCCAUACUAAUUAAACACUAAUUAUAUCCAUCUAACAUGCAUUCAUACAUAUAUACUAGUGAAAAAAUAAUAAUCUAAAAAAUCUAAACUAAUUAAACAUACAAAAUACGUAUAUACUAAUAUAUACAUGCAUUAAUUCAUACAUAUGUAUGUGUGUGUGUGUUCAUCAUGCUUGUGUGUGUGUGUAUGGGCUCGGGGANNNNNNNNNNNNNNNNNNNNNNNNNNNNNNNNNNNNNNNNNNNNNNNNNNNNNNNNNNNNNNNNNNNNNNNNNNNNNNNNNNNNNNNNNNNNNNNNNNNNNNNNNNNNNNNNNNNNNNNNNNNNNNNNNNNNNNNNNNNNNNNNNNNNNNNNNNNNNNNNNNNNNNNNNNNNNNNNNNNNNNNNNNNNNNNNNNNNNNNNNNNNNNNNNNNNNNNNNNNNNNNNNNNNNNNNNNNNNNNNNNNNNNNNNNNNNNNNNUAAGUGUUGUAUAUAUAAAAGGCACCUUUAGUACCGGUUGGAGCCACCAACCGGUACUACCGGUUGGUGGCUCCAACCGGUACUAAAGAUCCCCCUUUAGUAUCGGUUGGUGCCACGAACCGGUACUAAAGGGGGUCUGCUGGCGCAGGUGCGGUGCACAAGUUUAGUCCCACCUCGCUAGCCGAGGGGCGACCGCACUGGUUUAUAAACCCCCAUGCGGUAGCUCUCUCGACCUCCUCUCCAAAGCAGGCCUACUGGGCCUACAUGUUCUGUGCUGCCCUGUUGGCCUACUGGGCCUUUGCGGGCCUGCAUCCUGGCCCAACAACAGGUUGGGUUUCUAGUCGUAUGCAGGCCGCUCUGGCCUAGUAGGCGGGCUUUAUUUAUUUAUUUUUGAGUUGUUUUUUUUUGUGUAUUUAGAGUUUCUUUGUGAAUAUUUUUGCUUUAGGUACAAAAAAUUACAAACUUUCUGUUAGUGCCUGUAGUUUUCAAAUUUGAAUAGUUUAAAUUUUAAAUUAUUUGAAAUUAGUGUGAAUCACUAGUUUGUGAAUAACUUAACUUUAAAAAUCAGUAAAGGCAUGAAAGAAUUUGUUUGCACAUAAAAUUUCUUCGCGUUUCAAAUGCCAAAACACAUAAUUAACUACCCUAACUAUUACAGAGAUUCCCUUCUGGGUGUGAAACACAGAAAAAAGUGAUGAUAGUGAAGCCGAUCACAUCCCAGAUCUUUGGGUGUGAAACUUUUUCUUCGCGUGUGUCCCUUUGCGCCGUAACCAUGGAAAAUCUUCAUCAUUUAACGGGAUGCUCGGGUCAAUAUUCACUGUGAAUGGAGCAAUUUCAUCAAACUUUUCAUAAUCUUCUGACUUGUCUGUCUUGUCAUCCACUCCCACGAUGUUUCUCUUCCCAGAAAGAACUAUGUGCCGCUUUGGCUCAUCGUACGAUGCAUUCGCUUCCUUAUCUUUUCUUUUUCUUGGCUUGGUAGACAUGUCCUUCACAUAGAAAACCUGUGCCACAUCAUUGGCUAGGACGAAUGGUUCGUCUGCAUACGCAAGAUUGUUGAGAUCCACUGUUGUCAUUCCGUACUGCGGGUCUUCCGUUACCCCGCCUCGUGUCAUAUUGAUCCAUUUGCACCGAAACAAAGGGACCUUCAAAACACGUCGAUAGUCAAGUUCCCAUAUGUCCUGUAUAUAACCAUAAUAUGUUUCCUUUCCCGUCUUGGUUUCUGCAUCAAAGCGGACACCACUGUUUUGGUUGGUGCUCUUCUUAUCUUCGCCGAUCGUGUAAAAUGUAUUACCAUUUAUCUCGUACCCUUUGAAAGUCAUUAUAUUCGAAGAUGGUAACUGGGACAGCAAGUACAGAUCAUCUUCAAUAGAGGUGUCAUGCAUGGUACGUGUCUGCAACCAGCUGGCGAAACUCCUGGUUUGUUCACGUGUAAUCCAGUCAUCAGACCGCUCCGGGUGUUUGGAGCGUAGCAAAUUCUUGUGUUCAUCCAUAUAUGGAGCCACCAAGGCGGAAUUCUGUAGAACUGUGUAGUGUGCUUCAGUGAGAGAAUGUCCGUCCAUACAUAUUAUUUGUUCCCCUCCUAGCGUGCCUUUUCCAUCCAGUCUGCCCUUAUGCCGCGAUUCAGGAACACCAAUUGGCUUAAGGUCAGGAAUAAAGUCAACACAAAACUCAAUGACCUCCUCAUUUUGACGGCCCUUGGAGAUGCUUCCUUCUGGCCUAGCACGGUUAUGAACAUAUUUCUUUAAGACUCCCAUGAACCUCUCAAAGGGGAACAUAUUGUGUAGAAAUACAGGACCCAAAAUGUUAAUCUCUUCGCAUAGGUGAACUAGGACGUGCUUCAUGAUGUUGAAGAAGGAUGGUGGGAACACCAACUCGAAACUGACAAGACAUUGCACCAAAUCAUUCUCUAAUCUUGGUAUGAUUUCUGGAUUGAUUACCUUCCGAGAGAUUGCAUUGAGAAAUGCACAUAGCUUCACAAUGGCUAAUCGAACAUUUUUCGGUAGAAGCCCCCUCAAUGCAACCGGAAGCAGUUGCAUCAUAAUCACGUGGCAGUCAUGAGACUUUAGGUUCUGGAACUUUUUCUCUGCCAUGUUUAUUAUUCCAUUUAUAUUCGACGAGAAGCCGGACGAUACCUUAAUACUGAGCAGGCAUUCAAAGAAGAUUUCCUUCUCUUCUUUGGUAAGAGCGUAGCUUGCAUGACCCUGAUGUAUGCCGUCUUUUCCGUGCAUACAUUGCUGGUCCUCUCGUGCCUCAGGUGUAUCUUUUGUCUUCCCAUACACACCCAAGAAGCCAAGCAGGGUCACACAAAGAUUCUUCAUCACGUGCAUCACGUCGAUUGCGGAGCGGACCUCUAGGUCUUUCCAAUAGGGCAGGUCCCAAAAUAUAGAUUUCUUCUUCCACAUGGGUGCACGUCCGUCAGCGUCAUUCAGAACUGGUUGUCCACCAGGACCCUUUCCAAAGACCACCUUCAAAUCCUUGACCAUAUCAUGUACAUUAGCACCAGUACGGUGGCGAGGCUUCGUCCGGUGAUCCGCCUCACCUUUGAAAUGCUUGCCUUUAUUUCUUACGGGAUGCCUGCUCGGAAGAAAUCGACGAUGUCCCAGGUACACAUUCUUCUUACAAUUAGCCAAAUAUAUACUGUCGGUAUCGUCCAAACAGUGCGUGCAUGCGCGGUAUCCCUUGUUUGUCUGUCCUGAAAGAUUACUGAGAGCAGGCCAAUCAUUGAUGGUCAUGAACAGCAACGCCUUUAGGUCAAAUUCUUCCCCCAUGUGCUCAUCCCACGCACGUACACCUGUUCCAUUCUAUAGUUGUAAGAGUUCUUCAACUAAUGGCCUUAGGUACACAUCAAUGUCGUUGCCGGGUUGCUUAGGGCCUUGGAUGAGCACUGGCAUCAUAAUGAACUUCCGCUUCAUGCACAACCAAGGAGGAAGGUUAUACAAACAUAGAGUCAUAGGCCAGGUGCUAUGGUUGCUGCUCUGCUCCCCAAAAGGAUUAAUGCCAUCUGCGCUUAGACCAAACCAUACGCUCCUUGCGUCAUCUGCAAACUCCUUCCCGUACUUUCUUUCGAUUUUUCUCCACUGCGACCCGUCAGCGGGUACUCUCAACUUCCGUCUUUCUUACGGUCUUCUCUGUGCCAUCGCAUCGCCUUGGCAUGCUCUUUGUUUUGGAACAAACGUUUCAACCGUGGUAUUAUAGGAGCAUACCACAUCACCUUGGCAGGAAUCUUCUUCCUGGGGCGCUCGCCCUCGACAUCACCAGGGUCAUCGCGGCUGAUCUUAUAGCGCAAUGCACCACAUACCGGGCAAGCGUUCAAAUCCUCAUACUCACCGCGGUAGAGGAUGCCAUCAUUAGGGCAUGCAUGUAUCUUCUGCACCUCUAACCCUAGAGGGCAGACAACCUUCUUUGCUUCGUACGUACUCUCGGGCAAUUCGUUGUCCUUUGGAAGCAUAUCAUUUAUCAUUACCAACAACUUUCCAAAUCCCUUGUCAGAUACACCAUUCUCUGCCUUCCAUUGCAGCAAUUCCAGUGUGGUGCCCAGCUUUUUCUUGUCACCUAUGCAAUUCAGGUACAACAAUUUUUUGUGAUCCUCUAACAUGCGCUGCAACUUCUUCUUCUCCAAAUCACUUGUGCAGUUUCUCUUUGCAUCGGCAAUGGCCCGACCUAGAUCAUCAACGGGCUCAUCUGAUGCCUCUUCUUCAGCUUCUUCCCGCAUUGCCGGCUCAGCUUCUUCCCGCAUUACCGACUCAGCUUCUUCCCCCAUUGUUGUAUCAUCGUAUUCAGGGAACCCAUGGCCAGGAUAGCUGUCGUCGUCCUCUUCUUCUUCAUUGUCUUCCAUCAUAACCCCUCUUUCUCCGUGCUUGGUCCAAACAUUAUAGUGGGGCAUGAAACCGGACUUAAACAGGUGGACGUGAAUGGUUCUUGACGUAGAGUAAUUGUGACCAUUCUUACAGCCAGCAGAUGGACAAGGCAUAAAACCAUUCGCCCGCUUGUUUGCCUCAGCCGCAAGCAGAAAAGUAUGCACGCCCUCAACAAACUGGGGAGAGCAUCGGUCAUCGUACAUCCAUUGCCGGCUCAUCUUCAUUACACAACACCGAAUAGACCAAAUUAAUACAAUUUCAUACAUAAAGUUCAUACAACACUUAAAUGCAACAAACAAAUAACUCUCUAGCUAAAGCAUUUAAAUGCAACAACAAAUGCGAUCAAGAUCGCAACUAAGGUAAUGGAUCCAACAGCAUAAUGAUACCAAGCCUCACUAUCGAUGGCAUAUUUUCUAAUCUUUCUAAUCUUCAAGCGCAUUUUCUCCAUCUUGAUCUUGUGAUCAUCGACGACAUCGGCAACAUGCAACUCCAAUUCCAUCUUCUCCCCCUCAAUUCUUUUCAAUUUUUCUUUCAAGUACUCGUUUUCUCUUUCAACUAAAUUUAACCUCUCGACAAUAGGGUCGGUUGGAAUUUCCGGUUCACAUACCUCCUAGAAAAAAUUUCUAUGUCAACUUGAUGGGCAUAAUUUGUCAUAAACACGAAAUGCAACUAGUUUUAAAAGAGAAUAUAUAUACCACAUCCGAAUCAUAACAAGGACGAGGGCCGAUGGGGAUGGAUAUCAAAACCAUGGCACUAUAUGUAUAACAAACAACGUACGGGUAAGAUAAUUAUACGAGUAACUAUAUAUCCAAAUCACACAAACAUCAAUUUUUAUAUAAAAUUUCAUGAACAAGAGGCUCACCACAAGGUGGUGCCGGCGACGGGACGGUGCGGGCGAUCGACGGUGGUUACGACAGAGAUUUAGAAGGCACUAAUUAAACCACACCUACAUAUGCAAACUAAGUGUUAUUUUUGACCUCAAAUUGCAUAUAAAUCAAAUACUAGCACAUAUAUAUCCUCCCAAAUUACUAAACUCACAAAUUAAUCACUAUAUAAAGCAUUGCAAGAGCUAAUCUAGCAAUGAGAGAUGAAAGGACAAAGUUGCUAACCUUUGUGAUCAUUUGAAUGGAUGGGGGCCUUCAAAUCUUGACAAAUUUUGGGCAAAAUGUGUGAUGAGCUCGAGAGGAAGAGGGGAAGAACAAAGAGAGGAGAGGGGAAAGGGGAAGAACAGAGCGAGCUCGGGUGGACAAAGGGUUUAUGUAGGACGACCUUUAGUACCGGUUCGUGCCAAGAACCGGUACUAAAGGGGCUGGAGGGGCCCCAGUCUGACAACAUCCUGCCACUACUCUCAUUAGUAUAGGUUCGUGGCACGAACCGGUGCUAAAGGUUCGCCACGAACCAGUACUAAUGAAAGCGGCCCGGCUAGCCGUUGGAACCGGCACUAAUGUAUACAUUAGUGCCGGCUCAAAUACAAACCGGCACUAAUGUGCUUCACGUUUGACCCUUUUUCUACUAGUGAGGGUUGGUGUGUCCAUCACAUGGAUGUCAAGUCGGCAUUCCUCAACGGUGACUUGAAGGAGGAAGUCUACGUGCAUCAGCCACCGGGUUUUGCGAUUCCCGACCAGGAGGGCAAGGUACUCCGCCUGCGCAAGGCCCUCUAUGGCCAACGACAGGCACCUAGGGCGCGGAACGCCAAGCUGGACUCCACACUAAAGAAGAUGGGCUUCGAGCAAAGCCCGCAUGAGGCCGCUGUCUACCGACGGGGCAGUGGAGGAAAUGCCCUGCUGGUGGGCGUCUAUGUUGACGACUUGGUGAUCACCGGCACCAAAGAUGCAGAGGUAGCGACAUUCAAGGAAGACAUGAAGGCCACCUUCCAGAUGAGUGAUCUGGGGCUCCUCUCCUUCUAUCUAGGGAUUGAGGUGCACCAAGAUCACUCCGGGAUCGCGCUUCGACAGUCCGCCUACGCCAAGCGCAUCGUUGAGCUAGCUGGGCUCACCGGCUGCCAUCCAGAUCUCACUCCGAUGGAGGAGAGGCUGAAACUGAGCCGCGACAGCACGACGGAGGAAGUGGAUGCUACGCAGUACCGACUCCUUGUGGGGAGCCUUCGCUACCUCACCCACACACGACCGGACCUAGCAUUCUCCGUCGGCUAUGUCAGUCGGUUCAUGGAGCGACCGACGUCGGAACACCAGCAGGCAGUGAAGAGGAUCAUCCGCUACAUAGCAGGGACCCUCGACCACGGCCUCCACUACCCUAGGUGUCCGGGGGCAGCACACUUCGUCGGGUACAGUGACAGCGACCACGCCGGCGACAUCGACACCAGUAAGAGCAUGAGUGGGAUCCUCCUCUUCCUCGGCAAGUGUCUCGUGAGCUGGCAGUCAAUCAAGCAGUAGGUGGUGGCCCUGUCCAGCUGUGAGGCUGAGUACAUAGCGGCCUCCACCGCCUGCACUCAGGCGCUUUGGCUCGCUCGACUGCUUGGUGAUCUUCUCAUUCAAGACACCAGAACGGUGCAGCUCCUGGUGGACAGCAAGUCCGCCCUGGCCCUGGCAAAGAACCCCGUGUUCCAUGAACGGAGCAAGAACAUCCGGCUGAGGUAUCACUUCAUCCGCAGCUGUGUGGAAGAAGGGAGCAUCGAGGCGAGCUACAUCAACACCAAGGAUCAGCUCGCAGACCUGCUCACCAAGCCUCUUGGGAGGGUCAAGUUCCUCGAGCUUUGCUCCAGGAUCGGGAUGAUUCAACACUCCCACAAGACGACGUACAAGACUUAGGGGGAGAAUGUUGGAUAAGUCUGUGUACUAGGGUCUUUGUGGGGCUGAAGCACAUGGUCCUUGUGGGGUUGCAGCACAUGGUCCUUGUGGCAGUUAGGAUAGAGUUCUUGACCAUCAAGGACUGGCAGUUAGGAUAGCAUCUUAGACCAGCAUCUUAGACUGGCAUCUUAGUAGCAUCUCAGCAUAUGCUUGGCUGGCUAGCAGCCUAUAAGUGAAGGAAAUAUGCCCUAGAGGCAAUAAUAAAGUUAUUAUUUAUUUCCUUAUUUCAUGAUAAAUGUUUAUUAUUCAUGCUAAAAUUGUAUUAACCGGAAACAUAAUACAUGUGUGAAUACAUAGACAAACAAAGUGUCACUAGUAUGCCUCUACUUGACUAGCUCGUUAAUCAAAGAUGGUUAUGUUUCCUAACCAUAGACAUGUGUUGUCAUUUGAUUAACGGGAUCACAUCAUUAGGAGAAUGAUGUGAUUGACAUGACCCAUUCCAUUAGCUUAGCACCCAAUCGUUUAGUAUGUUGCUAUUGCUUUCUUCAUGACUUAUACAUGUUCCUAUGACUAUGAGAUUAUGCAACUCCCGUUUGCCGGAGGAACACGUUGUGUGAUACCAAACGUCACAACGUAACUGGGUGAUUAUAAAGGAGCUCUACAGGUGUCUCCAAAGGUAAAUGUUGGGUUGGCGUAUUUCGAGAUUAGGAUUUGUCACUCCGAUUGUCGGAGAGGUAUCUCUGGGCCCUCUCGGUAAUGCACAUCACAUAAGCCUUGCAAGCAUUGCAACUAAUGAGUUAGUUGCGAGAUGAUGUAUUAGGAAACGAGUAAAGAGACUUGCCGGUAACGAGAUUGAACUAGGUAUUGAGAUACCGACGAUCGAAUCUCGGGCAAGUAACAUACCGAUGACAAAGGGAACAAUGUAUGUUGUUAUGCGGUCUGACCGAUAAAGAUCUUCAUAGAAUAUGUAGGAACCAAUAUGAGCAUCCAGGUUCCGCUAUUGGUUAUUGACCGGAGACUUGUCUCGGUCAUGUCUACAUUGUUCUCGAACCCGUAGGGUCCGCACGCUUAAGGUUUCGAUGACAGUUAUAUUAUGAGUUUAUGAGUUUUGAUGUACUGAAGUUAGUUCGGAGUCCCGGAUGUGAUCACGGACAUGACGAGGAGUCUCGAAAUGGUCGAGACAUAAAGAUUGAUAUAUUGGACGGCUAUAUUCGGACAUCGGAAGUGUUCUGGGUGAUUUCGAAGAAAACCAGAGAGCCGGAGGGUUACCGAACCCCCCCCCCCCCGGGAGAAGUAAUGGGCCAUAUGGGCCUUAGUGGAGAGAGAGAGGGGCAACCAAAGGUGGGCUGCGCGCCUCCUCCCCCCUGGUCCGAAUUGGACUAGGAGAGGGGGGGCGGCGCCCCCCUUUCCUUCUCCCUCCCCACUUCUUUCCCCCUCCUAGUAGGAGUCCUACUCCUACUAGGAGGAGGACUCCUCCUUGGCGCGCCAUAGGGGCCGGCCGGCCUCCUCCCCUUGAUCCUUUAUAUACGGGGGCAGGGGGCACCCCUAGACACACAAGUUGAUCCACGUGAUCAUAUUCUUAGCCGUGUGCGGUGCCCCCUUCCACCAUAAUCCUCAAUAAUAUUGUAGCGGUGCUUAGGCGAAGCCCUGCGACGGUAGUACAUCAAGAUCGUCACCAUGCCGUCGUGCUGAGGAAACUCUUCCCCGACACUUUGCUGGAUCGGAGUCCGGGGAUCGUCAUCGAGCUGAACGUGUGCUAAAACUCAGAGGUGCCGUAGUUUUGGUGCUUGAUCGGUCGGGCUGUGAAGACGUACGACUACAUCAACCGCAUUGUGAUAAUGCUUCCGCUGUCGGUCUACAAGGGUACGUAGAUCACACUCUCCCCUCUCGUUGCUAUGCAUCACCAUGAUCUUGCGUGUGUGUAGGAAUUUUUUUGAAAUUACUACGUUCCCCAACAGUGGCAUCCGAGCCUAGGUUUUAUGUGUUGAUGUUAUAUGCACGAGUAGAACACAAGUGAGUUGUGGGCGAUAUAAGUCAUACUGCUUACCAGCAUGUCAUACUUUGGUUCGGCGGUAUUGUUGGACGAAGCGGCCCGGACCGACAUUACGCGUACGCUUACGCGAGACCGGUUCUCCCGACGUGCUUUGCACAUAGGUGGCUAGCGGGUGACAGUUUCUCCAACUUUAGUUGAACCGAGUGUGGCUACGCCCGAUCCUUGCGAAGGUUAAAACAGCACCAACUUGACAAACUAUCAUUGUGGUUUUGAUGCGUAGGUAAGAUUGUUUCUUGCUAAGCCCGUAGCAGCCACGUAAAACUUGCAACAACAAAGUAGAGAACGUCUAACUUGUUUUUGCAGGGCAUGUUGUGAUGUGAUAUGGCAAGACGUGAUGAGAUAUAAGUUGUUGUAUGAGAUGAUCAUGUUUUGUUGAAGUUAUCGGCAACUGGCAAAAUCUUUAUGGUUGUCUCUUUAUUUCAUAAGAUGCAAGUGCCCAAUAAUUGCUUUACUUUAUCGCUAUGCGAUAGCAAUAGUUGCAAGAGCAAUUGUUGGCGAGACGACCACGUGAUGACACAUUGAUAUAGAUCAAGAUGAUGGAGAUCAUGGUGUCAUGCCGGUGACGAUAGAGAUCAUGACAGUACUUUGGAGAUGGAGAUCAAAGGCGCAAGAUGAUGAUGGCCAUAUCAUGUCACAUAUUUUGAUUGCAUAUGAUAUUUAUCUUUUAUACAUCUUAUUUUGCUUAAUUUGACGGUAGCAUUUUAAGAUGAUCUCUCACUAAUUAUCAAGAAGUGUUCUCCCUGAGUAUGCACCGUUGCGAAAGUUCUUCGUGCUGAGACACCACGUGAUGAUCGGGUGUGAUAGGCUCUACGUUCAAAUACAACGGGUGCAAAAUAGUUGCACACGCGGAAUACUCAGGUUAUACUUGACGAGCCAAGCAUAUACAGAUAUGGCCUCGGAACACGGAGACCGAAAGGUCAAGCGUGAAUCAUAUAGUAGAUAUGAUCAACAUAGUGAUGUUCACCAAUGAAACUACUCCAUCUCACGUGAUGAUCGGACAUGGUUUAAUUGAUUUGGAUCACGUGAUCACUUAGAGGAUUAGAGGGAUGUCUAUCUAAGUGGGAGUUCUUUAGUAAUAUGAUUAAUUGAACUUAAAUUUAUCAUGAACUUAGUCCUGGUAGUAUUUUGCAAAUCAUGUUGUAGAUCAAUAGCUCGCGUUGUUACUUCGCUGUGUUUAUUUUGAUAUGUUCCUAGAGAAAAUUGUGUUGAAAGAUGUUAGUUGCAAUGAUGCGGAUUGGAUCCGUGAUCUGAGGUUUAUCCUCAUUGCUGCACAGAAGAAUUAUGUCCUUGAUGCACCGCUAGGUGACAGACCUAUUGCAGGAGCAGAUGCAGACGUUAUGAAUGUUUGGCUAGCUAAAUAUGAUGACUACUUGAUAGUUUAGUGCACCAUGUUUAACGGCUUAGAAUCGGGACUUCAAAGACGUUUUGAACGCCAUGGACCAUAUGAGAUGUUCCAGGAGUUGAAGUUAUUAUUUCAAGCAAAUACCCGAGUUGAGAGAUAUGAAGUCUCCAACAAGUUCUAUAGCUAAAAGAUGGAGGAGAAUCACUCAACUAGUGAGCAUGUGCUCAGAUUGUCUGGGUACUACAAUCGCUUGAAUCAAGUGGGAGUUAAUCUUCCAGAUAAGAUAGUGAUUGACAGAAUUCUCUAGUCACCAUCACCAAGUUAGUAGAACUUCGUGAUGAACUAUAGUAUGCAAGGGAUAACGAAAACAACUCUCGAGCUUUUCAUGAUGAUGAAAUCGAUGAAGGUAGAAAUCAAGAAAGAGCAUCAAGUGUUGAUGGUUGACAAGAUCACUAGUUUCAAGAAAAGGGCAAAGGAAAAAAAGGGGAACUUCAAGAAAAACAGCAAGCAAGUUGCUGCUCAAGUGAAGAAGCUCAAUUCUGGUCCUAAGCCUGAGACUAAGUGCUUCUACUGCAAAGGGACUGGUCACUGUAAGCGGAACUACCCCAAGUGAUUGGCGGAUAAGAAGGAUGGCAAAGUGAACAUAAGUAUAUUUGAUAUACAUGUUAUUGAUGUGUACUUUACUAGUGUUUAUAACAACCCCUCGGUAUUUGAUACUCGUUCAGUUGCUAAGAUUAGUAACUCGAAACGGGAGUUGCAGAAUAAACAGAGACUAGUUAAGGGUGAAGUGACGAUGUGUGUUGGAAGUGGUUCCAAGAUUGAUAUGAUCAUCAUCGCACACUCUCUAUACUUUCGGGAUUAGUGUUGAACCUAAAUAAGUGUUAUUUGGUGUUUGCGUUAAGCAUGAAUAUGAUUUGAUCAUGUUUAUUGUAAUACGGUUAUUCAUUUAAGUAAGAGAAUAAAUUAUUGUUCUGUUUACAUGAAUAAAACCUUAUAUGGUUACACACCCAAUGAAAAUGGUUCAUUGGAUCUCGAUCGUAGUGAUACACAUAUUCAUAAUAUUGAAACCAAAAGAUGCAAAGUUAAUAAUGAUAGUGCAACUUAUUUGUGGCACUGCCGUUUAGGUCAUAUUGGUGUAAAGCGCAUGAAGAAACUCCAUGCUGAUGGGAUUUUGGAAUCAUUUGAUUAUGAAUCACUUGGUGCUUGCGAACCAUGCCUUAUGGGCAAGAUGACUAAAGACUCCGUUCUCCGGAACAAUGGAGCGAGCAACAGAUUUGUUGGAAAUCAUACAUACUGAUGUAUGUGGUCCAAUGAAUAUUAAAGCUCGCGACAAGUAUCAUUAUUUUCUGACCUUCACAGAUAAUUUGAGCAGAUAUGAGUAUAUCUACUUGAUGAAACACAAGUCUGAAACAUUUGAAAAGUUCAAAGAAUUUCAGAGUGAAGUGGAGAAUCAUCGUAACAAAAAUAAAAGUUUCUACGAUAUGAUAGCAGAAGUAAAAUAUUUGAGUUACGAGUUUGACCUUCAGUUAAAAACAAUGUGAAAUAGUUUCACUACUCACGCCACCUGGAACACCACAGUGUAAUGGUGUGUCUGAACGUCAUAACCGUACUUUAUUGGAUAUAGUACAAUCUAUGAUGUUUCUUACCGAUUUAUCAAUAUCGUUUUGGGAUCAUGCAUUAGAGACAGCUGCAUCCGCGUUAAAAAGGGGCACCAUCUAAGUCCAUUGAGACGACACAAUCUGAACUGUGGUUUGGCAAGAAACCAAAGUUGUCGUUUCUUAAAGUUUGGAUUGUGAUGCUUAUAUGAAAAAGUUUCAUCCUGAUAAGCUCAAACCCAAAUCGGAGAAAUAUGUCUUCAUAGGAUACCCAAAGGAGACUGUUGGGUACACCUUCUAUCACAGAUCCGAAGGCAAGACAUUCGUUGCUAAGAAUGGAUCCUUUCUAGAGAAGGAGUUUCUCUUGAAAGAAGUGAGUGGGAGGAAAGUAGAACUUGAUAAGGUAAUUGUACCUUCUCCCUUAUUGGAAAGUAGUUCAUCACAGAAAUCUGUUCCUGUGACUACUACACCAAUUAGUGAGGAAGCUAAUGAUGAUGAUCAUGUAACUUCAGAUCAAGUUACUACCGAAUCUCGUAGGUAAACCAGAGUGAGAUCCGCACCAAAGUGGUACGGUAAUCCUGUUCUGGAAGUCAUGUUACUAGACCAUGACGAACUUGCGAACUAUGAGGAAGCGAUGAUGAGCCCAGAUUCCGCGAAAUGGUUUGAGGCCAUGAAAUCUGAGAUAUGAUCUAUGUAUGAGAACAAAGUAUGGACUUUGAUGGAUUUGCCCGAUGAUCGGCAAGCCAUAGAAAAUAAAUGGAUCUUCAAGAGGAAGACGGACGCUGAUAGUAGUGUUACUAUCUACAAAGCUAGAAUUGUCGCAAAAAGGUUUUCGACAAGUUCAAGAUGUUGACUACGAUGAGAGUUUCUCACUCGUAUCUAUGCUUAAGUCUGUCUGAAUCAUGUUAGCAAUUGCCGCAUUUUAUGAAAUCUGGCAAAUGGAUAAACAAAGCUGAAUUCCUUAAUGGAUUUCUUAAAGAAGAGUUGUAUAUGAUGCAACCAUAAGGUUUUGUCAAUCCUAAAAGUGUUAACAAAAUAUGCAAGCUCCAGCGAUCCAUCUGUGGACUGGUGCAAGCAUCUCGGAGUUGGAAUAUGCGCUUUGAUGAGAUGAUCAAAGUAUAUAGUUUUAUACAGACUUGUGGUGAAGCCUGUAUUUACAAGAAAGUGAGUGGGAGCACUACAGCAUUUCUGACAAGUAUAUGUGAAUGACAUAUUAUUGAUCGGAAAUAAUGUAGAAUUAUUCUGCAAAGCAUAAAGGAGUGUUUGAAAGAAGUUUUUCAAAGAAAGACCUCGGCGAAGCUGCUUACAUAUUAAGCAUCAAGAUCUAUAGAGAUAGAUCAAGACGCUUGAUAAGUUUUUUCAAUGAGUACAUACCUCGACAAGAUUUUGAAGUAGUUCAAAAUAGAACAGUCAAAGAAAGAGUUCUUGCCUGUGUUACAAGGUGUGAAAUUGAGUAAGACUCAAAGCCAGACCAUGGCAGAAAAUAGAAAGAGAAUGAAAGUCAUUCCCUAUGCCUCAGCCAUAGGUUCUAUAAAGUAUGUCAUGCUGUGUACCAGAUCUAUUGUAUACCCUACACUGAUGUUGGCAAGGGAGUACAAUAGUGAUCUAGGAGUAGAUCACUGGACAGUGGUCAAAAUUAUCCUUACUGGAAUAAGGAUAUGUUUCUCGAUUAUGGAGGUGACAAAAGGUUCGUCGUAAAGGGUUACGUCGAUACAAACUUUGACACUAAUCCAGAUGAUUCUAAGUCUCAAUCUGGAUGCAUAUUGAAAGUGGGAGCAAUUAGCUAGAGUAGCUCCGUGCAGAGCAUUGUUGACAUAGAAAUUUGCAAAAUACAUACGGAUCUGAAUAUGGUAGACCCGUUGACUAAACUUCUCUCACAGGCAAAACAUGAUCACACCUUAGUACUCUUUGGGUGUUAAUCACAUAGCAAUGUGAACUAGAUUAUUGACUCUAGUAAACCCUUUGGGUGUUGGUCACAUGACGAUGUGAACUAUGGGUGUUAAUCACAUGGUGAUGUGAAUUAUUGAUGUUAAAUCACAUGUCGAUGUGAACUAGAUUAUUGACUCUAGUGCAAGUGGGAGACUGAAGGAAAUAUGCCCUAGAGGCAAUAAUAAAGUUAUUAUUUAUUUCCUUAUUUCAUGAUAAAUGUUUAUUAUUCAUGCUAAAAUUGUAUUAACCGGAAACAUAAUACAUGUGUGAAUACAUAGACAAACAAAGUGUCACUAGUAUGCCUCUACUUGACUAGCUCGUUAAUCAAAGAUGGUUAUGUUUUCUAACCAUAGACAUGUGUUGUCAUUUGAUUAACGGGAUCACAUCAUUAGGAGAAUGAUGUGAUUGACAUGACCCAUUCCAUUAGCUUAGCACCCGAUCGUUUAGUAUGUUGCUAUUGCUUUCUUCAUGACUUAUACAUGUUCCUAUGACUAUGAGAUUAUGCAACUCCUGUUUGCCGGAGGAACACUUUGUGUGCUACCAAACGUCACAACGUAACUGGGUGACUAUAAAGGAGCUCUACAGAUGUCUCCAAAGGUAAAUGUUGGGUUGGCGUAUUUCGAGAUUAGGAUUUGUCACUCCGAUUGUCGGAGAGGUAUCUCUGGGCCCUCUCGGUAAUGCACAUCACAUAAGCCUUGCAAGCAUUGCAGCUAAUGAGUUAGUUGCGAGAUGAUGUAUUACGGAACGAGUAAAGAGACUUGCCGGUAACGAGAUUGAACUAGGUAUUGAGAUACCGACGAUCGAAUCUCGGGCAAGUAACAUACCGAUGACAAAGGGAACAAUGUAUGUUGUUAUGCGGUCUGACCGAUAAAGAUCUUCGUAGAAUAUGUAGGAACCAAUAUGAGCAUCCAGGUUCCGCUAUUGGUUAUUGACCGGAGACGUGUCUCGGUCAUGUCUACAUUGUUCUCGAACCCGUAGGGUCCGCACGCUUAAGGUUUCGAUGAUAGUUAUAUUAUGAGUUUAUGAGUUUUGAUGCACCAAAGUUAGUUCGGAGUCCCGGAUGUGAUCACGGAUAUGACGAGGAGUCUCGAAAUGGUCGAGACAUAAAGAUUGAUAUAUUGGACGGCUAUAUUCGGACACCGAAAGUGUUCCGGGUGAUUUCGGAGAAAACCAGAGAGCCGGAGGGUUACCGGAACCCCCCCGGGAGAAGUAAUGGGCCAUAUGGGCCUUAGUGGAGAGAGAGAGGGGCAGCCAAAGGUGGGCCGCGCGCCUCCUCCCCCUGGUCCGAAUUGGACUAGGAGAGGGGGGGCGGCGUCCCCCUUUCCUUCUCCCUCCCCACUUCUUUCCCCCUCCUAGUAGGAGUCCUAUUCCUACUAGGAGGACUCCUCCUUGGCGCGCCAUAGGGGCCGGCCGGCCUCCUCCCCUUGAUCCUUUAUAUACGGGGGCAGGGAGCACCCCUAGACACACAAGUUGAUCCAUGUGAUCAUAUUCUUAGCCGUGUGCGGUGCCCCCUUCCACCAUAAUCCUCGAUAAUAUUGUAGCGGUGUUUAGGCGAAGCCCUGCGAUGGUAGUACAUCAAGAUCGUCACCAUGCCGUCGUGCUGAGGGAACUCUUCCCCGACACUUUGCUGGAUCGGAGUCCGGGGAUCGUCAUCGAGCUGAACGUGUGCUAAAACUCGGAGGUGUCGUAGUUUCGGUGCUUGAUCGGUCAGGCCGUGAAGACGUACGACUACAUCAACCGCGUUGUGAUAACGCUUCCGCUGUCGGUCUACAAGGGUACGUAGAUCACACUCUCCCCUCUCGUUGCUAUGCAUCACCAUGAUCUUGCGUGUGCGUGAGAAUUUUUUUGAAAUUACUACGUUCCCCAACAAUAAGUAUGUAUCCCCAACCCCUCAGGUUGGCAUGGCAUUGUGUGAGAAAUAAACCAACGAAAAUUGUCCCUACUCUCCUAGUGUCAUCCACAACUAUCAGUGCUCAGUUUCAAAGGUCUAACAUUGAGAAGGCAUUACCGAAGGUUAACUUGAGAUUAUGGAAUCGCAGAGGACUGGUUGUGCCUG